This 254-nucleotide ribosomal RNA is filed under the name uncultured bacterium. RNAcentral's name for it is "partial 16S ribosomal RNA". It matches the Rfam family "Bacterial small subunit ribosomal RNA", at positions 524 to 776 of the family's 1533-position model. The record is from RNAcentral.
UACGUAGGGGCCUAGCGUUGUCCGGAAUUAUUGGGCGUAAAGAGCUCGUAGGCGGUUCGGCAAGUCGGAUGUGAAAUCUCCACGCUUAACGUGGAGGGGCCAUUCGAAACUGCUGUGACUCGAGUCCGGUAGGGGAGUGUGGAAUUCCCGGUGUAGCGGUGAAAUGCGCAGAUAUCGGGAGGAACACCUGUGGCGAAAGCGGCUCACUGGACCACAACUGACGCUGAGGCGCGAAAGCUAGGGGAGCAAACAGG